GAGUUUGAUCGUGGCUCAGAACGAACGCUGGCGGCGUGCCUAACACAUGCAAGUCGAACGUGAAAGUCCUUCGGGAUGAGUAAAGUAGGCGCACGGGUGAGUAACACGUAGGUAACCUGCCUCAAAGACUGGGAUAACUUUCCGAAAGGAAUGCUAAUACCAGAUAAGACCACGAUUUUAAAUUUAUUGGGGUCAAAGGGCGCUUUCGGGUGUCGCUUUGAGAUGGGCCUGCGGUACAUUAGCUAGAUGGUGGGGUAACGGCCUACCAUGGCAACGAUGUAUAGCUGGUCUGAGAGGACGAUCAGCCACACUGGAACUGAGACACGGUCCAGACUCUACGGGAGGCAGCAGUGGGGAAUAUUGGACAAUGGGGGAAACCCUGAUCCAGCAACG
Molecule: ribosomal RNA, 393 nt
Filed under: uncultured delta proteobacterium
Lineage: Bacteria; Deltaproteobacteria
Description: bacterial SSU rRNA
Rfam family: Bacterial small subunit ribosomal RNA
Source: RNAcentral